CGCAAUAAGAAAAAGUUUGGGAACCUCUGCUCUAAAGGUCACUGGACAUUAUGACUAAAAAUCUGUUUCUAGGGUCAGUGACCUUAAAAAGGUAGACAGCCAAUCUAGUUGAAACUCAAAGCAUCACAAAACAUUUUGUUUACAAAGCAUUUGUUAUUCCCCCAGCUGUAAAUGAAGGAAUUGAUAAAUGUAUUUUUUCUAAAAAAACAAACAAACAAGUUUUAUGUAUCACAGUAAGGAUACUGUGUAUCAAGUGCUAGGUUCAGAAGCUUUUUAUUACUAUUUUUGAACCAUUUCAACCAAAGAGCUGUACUACAAUCAGAAGUAUUACUGCAGUGCUAGAGCACUACUAGGCUCCUCUUGUGCCCCAACAGGCAGGUGUACUCCCAGUUAUUGAUGCAAGCAUGGAACAAAUGGCUCUUUAAAAAAAGAAAAAGAAAAAGAUCUGUGACUGACUUCAAUGAUCUCUCACACUAUUUGAAAAUAGAAAAUAUGAAAGUUAUAUACAGUACCACAUUUCACAGAGAACGUAACUUUUACUUGUUAAAAAAGGAUAGAAAAAGUAUUUGAAAACAAUAAUUUAUUCAGACAAUGAUGCUUGCUACUAUUCACUUCAAUGAACUUGACCAAAAAACCAGAACCUUAAACCCAACUAGGAUUUUUUGCUCUCAUCUGCUUUAUAACUGGGAAGCAGACUGUGCAAGGAAGAUAGAGAAACAUGGAAGAAUGAGAAUGAGGACAAGUGCUGCCUAUGUAACACUGACCUCAAAGAGCCUGGAUCAUAGCUGUAUUGUCUGGAAGCAGGAUUGGAGAGGGAAGAGCCAAGUGCAGCAAGUCCUCACCACAAGUAAAAGUCCAAGGGUUGAAGAUACCACCGAAAACCUGAGUGUGGCUAACCAGCAGAAGGGAGGCCAGAGGCUUCCAUGCAUGACUUUUGUCUCAACUGCUCUCACCUUGGGUAUACAUGUAAAAUUAAAAUCAGGGUUCUCCUGGGAGCCACACAAUCUCUGUCAAAAUAGUACUGCAGACAGAAAGACCUUCAUCUUCAUUUUAUUACCACACAAUUAUAUGUGAGCUGUUACAGACACAUUUGCUGCUUACAUUUCAAAACAAGAUUUUCAGUAAUGAAGUUAUAGAUUUUUUUUUAAUAAUUAAAAUCUAGCAAGAUCCUGGAAUACUAGAAAAGUGUCUUAGUAACUUGCCUGUAAAUCUUAAUGAUGAAUUAAAAGAUAUUGACUGAGAUCUUCAUAUAAUACAGGAGAAAACUAUUUACCAAAGCUACUGAAAACAGACACAGUAAAAACUGUAUUUAUUUAUUUUACCAAACAUAUUGUUGCUACACAAGACAGAGCAAGCCUUCAGGAGCUGGAAGUCCUUUUUCUAGGUUACUCUAAGCUUUACUUGUUUCUUCUUUAAGAAGGCUACUUGAAUAGUGGUGAUUUGAUUUUUUUUAAAUAAACACAGCAAUUUGCUUGUUA
This is a long non-coding RNA of Gavialis gangeticus (Gharial), 1478 nucleotides long. RefSeq lists it as uncharacterized. The record is from RefSeq and is a predicted model, not a curated record. The transcript has 2 exons. NCBI's taxonomy places the organism in Eukaryota, Metazoa, Chordata, Crocodylia, Gavialidae.